CCCGCCCCACUGCGCUGCCCACGACGGCCAGACCUCACCAGGAUCCUCUGCGCUGCGCUACCCACAUUUCGCACCCACACCGCAACAAACUCGUCGUCGCCGUCGUCGCCAGGAAACGCAUGUGACCCGCUGCGGUUUGAGGCGAAUUCUCUGCUGGUGUCCGUGUCCGUUUGAUGCUGAAGGAGGACAGGUGGGGAGGGACGGAGGGGAUCAUGGACUUCAGGAGCAGCAACGGCGGGUCGUCCUCGGAGCGCGCGCCGGCGGAGGGGGCGCCGCUGGCGAGGCAGGGGUCCAUCUACUCCCUGACGUUCGAGGAGUUCCAGAGCACGCUCGGCGGGGGCGCCGGCAUGGGAGGCAGCGACCUCGGCAAGGAUUUCAGCUCCAUGAACAUGGACGAGCUGCUCCGGAGCAUCUGGACCGCCGAGGAGAGCCAGGCCAUGGCCGCCUCGGCCUCGGGCGCGGGCGCCGGCCCACCGCCCACGUCUCUGCAGGGCCAGGGCUCGCUCACGCUGCCCCGCACCCUCAGCGCCAAGACGGUCGACGAGGUGUGGCGCAACCUCGUGCGCGAUGACCCGCUUCCGGUGGGGCCGGAGGGUGCCGAGCCGCAGCCCCAUCGGCAGGCGACGCUCGGGGAGAUGACCCUGGAGGAGUUCCUGGUCAAAGCCGGCGUGGUGCGAGAGAUCCCCACCGCUCCUGCGGUGCCGCCCCCGCCCAUGCACCCGCGGCCGGUCCCUGUUGUCCCUAAAGGCCCUUCCUUCUACGGGAACUUCCCGAGCGCCAACGACGCCGGUGCGGCGGCGCUGGGGUUCCCGCCGGUCGCCAUGGGGGAUCUGGCCUUGGCCAAUGGGCUCAUGCCGAGGGCAGUGGGUAUGGGAGGCGCCCCCCUGGUUGUGCAAACUGCGGUCAACCCGGUUGAUUCCGGCAGCAAGGGGAGCGAGGAUCUGUCAUCGCCGUCGGAACCAAUGCCGUACUCGUUCGAGGGGAUUGUGAGGGGGAGGAGGACUGGCGGCGGCGUGGAGAAGGUGGUGGAGAGGAGGCAGAGGAGGAUGAUCAAGAACAGGGAGUCCGCCGCCAGGUCCCGUGCCCGCAAGCAGGCUUAUACAAUGGAGUUGGAAGCCGAAGUUCAGAAGCUCAAGGACCUGAACGAGGAACUGGUGAGGAAACAGAAAGAGAUACUGGAAAUGCAGAAAAGAGAGGCCCCUGAGAUGAAGGAUCAGUUCGGACGGAAGAAGCGGCAGUGUUUGCGGAGAACGUUGACCGGCCCCUGGUGAGGAGGAUCAAGGAGUCAGGCAUUCCACCGGCCUGCCUGCUUUGUACAUAUAAUUUGCUCUAUUGUAAACCGAUGAUGGACCAGACCUGUGCUUGGUUGACCUGCUAGUUUCCUUUCUCGUGCUGCUUCAGAGACCGCUGACCUGUAGGCUAGUGUGUAGUCGAGGAGGGGAGCCGUAAGAACCGCUGUAAUUUGGCAGUCCUUCAGAAUCUAGUUUGUAGAGCUUGUCUGGGUUUGCAUAACAUCAGUCUUUUUCUUCUUCUUCUUCUUCUAACUUUGCGCCUUAGAGACUAGUACUAGAUAAGUUGGGUUUGAGUUUCAGAUGUCGAUGUAACUAAGUCCUGGGAUCCAAGAAACGUCCUACACCCGGCUUCAUGUUUGGCUAGUCAACCGAAGUUUAUAUAUCC
Molecule: ribosomal RNA, 1677 nt
Filed under: Triticum aestivum (bread wheat)
Lineage: Eukaryota; Viridiplantae; Streptophyta; Magnoliopsida; Poales; Poaceae
Description: partial small subunit ribosomal RNA
Source: RNAcentral